CCAAUAGCGUAUAUUAAAGUUGUUGCAGUUAAAAAGCUCGUAGUUGAAUUUCGGGGUUCCACCGUUGGUCGGGCUAUUGUCUGUACUGGCGUGUGGAAUUUCUACCUUCUGGGGAACUAUCAUGUUAUUAAUUUAGCGUGGUAGGAAACCAGGACCUUUACCUUGAAAAAAUUAGAGUGUUCAAAGCAGGCUUAUGUCUGAAUACAUUAGCAUGGAAUAAUAAAAUAGGACGGUGGUCCUGUUUUGUUGGUUUCUGAAUCACCGUAAUGAUUAAUAGGGAUAGUCGGGGGCAUUAGUAUUCAAUUGUCAGAGGUGAAAUUCUUGGAUUUAUUGAAGACUAACUACUGCGAAAGCAUUUGCCAAGGAUGUUUUCAUUAAUCAAGAACGAAAGUUAGGGGAUCGAAGACGAUCAGAUACCGUCGUAGUCUUAACCAUAAACUAUGCCGACUAGGGAUCGGACGAUGUUAACUUUUCUUGACUCGUUCGGCGCCUUACG
Molecule: ribosomal RNA, 496 nt
Filed under: uncultured Glomeromycotina
Lineage: Eukaryota; Fungi; Glomeromycota
Description: partial small subunit ribosomal RNA
Rfam family: Eukaryotic small subunit ribosomal RNA
Source: RNAcentral